This 9835-nucleotide long non-coding RNA is filed under the name Erythranthe guttata (spotted monkey flower). RNAcentral describes it as "long non-coding RNA (EGUT_LNC002286)". Lineage: Eukaryota; Viridiplantae; Streptophyta; Magnoliopsida; Lamiales; Phrymaceae. The record is from RNAcentral.
AAGCACAAGAUUGGUCGACAUAAACGAAAUAGGAAUCUCAAAACAUAAAUUGGACGAGCACAAGAUUGGUCGAGAUAAACGAAAUAAGAAUCGCAAAAACAUAAAGUGUACAAGCACAAAAUAAAUAAGAGUAGCAUUGUUCCAGCCUUACACUAGGCAUUCACCUCCACACACACCAUCAUUUUUUGUUUUUGUUUUUUUUUCAAAAAUACAAAAGGAUUCUAGAUGAACACAAACAAAACUAGUUAAUAUUCCAAAAGCAUAUAUACAUAUAUAUAUAUAUAUAUAUAUAAAUAGUUUCUCUGAACCUGGAGGAGGCUGUAAUCACCUGCAAAUGAAAAAAUCCCUAAAGGUGUUAAAUGCUAGUAAAUGCAUGCAUAUAUAUAUAUAUAUAUAUAUAUAUAUAUAUAUAUAUAUAUAUAUAUAUAUAUAUAUAUAUAUAUAUAUAUAUAUAUAUAUAUAUAUAUAUAUANNNNNNNNNNNNNNNNNNNNNNNNNNNNNNNNNNNNNNNNNNNNNNNNNNNNNNNNNNNNNNNNNNNNNNNNNNNNNNNNNNNNNNNNNNNNNNNNNNNNACACACCAGCAAGGGAGACGUAGUUACCCUAGCUCGAAAAAUUAAGAGAUUAUUAUCAUCAUCUUCACCAUCAUCCUCCUGAGGCUUAGCUGUAAAAGUGAUUAUAGCAGUUAUUGUUUGUCCAGUUACUCUCUUCAGCUCCACAAAUCUGUAUUUCUUCACCUACAUAAUUAUAACAAUAAUAAAUUAAAUUAAAUUAAUUAUUCAUAUAGUGAACAUAAUAAUAAUAAUAAACACCAAACUUUAAUUGUUUUCUAGAGAGAGAGAGAGAGAUCUAGAGAGAGAGAGAGAAGAAACACAAUGAAUAGACAUACAUGUGUGUCGUUGUAGACAUCAAUGGCUAAUUGAGCAGCUUCUUUCAUUUUUGGGAUGAUAAAAGCAUUAUCUGCGGUGGGAACUCCGUCGUACCAGACGCUUGGAGCACCAAACCCUCGCCGGUUCCAAUUUCUAUUCUUCUUCUCCGUCGUUUCUGGAAUCAGCUUCUUCUCCGUUGUUUCCGUUGAUUCUGGAAUCAUCAUCAUCAUCUUCUCCGUUGAUUCUGGAAUCAGCUUCGAUUUACGCUUCGGCGACGUAUUGCCGAGAAACUUCCAGGCAUUCCUUUGCGAUUGCAAUUUCGACACCUUUUUCAUUCCGUCGCCAGAUUCACAAUAAUCCCCUUUCUCUAAACCCUAGUCGUUUUGCCCUUUUCGUUCUCUUUUUUUCUUUUUUAAUUUUUUUUUUUUUUUUUUGUUUAAUGGGCUGGAUUUUGAGAAUGGGCUGGAUUUUAAACAUACUCAAUUUCUGUUAUAAUACCAUUAUAUAUUAAAAUACAUAAAUGUCAUUUUGCUGCAUACUGCAUAUUACACGACUAAGAAUAUCAUUCUUAUAAUUUUAAAGAUUUUUUUCUCCAACAAAUGACAACUUAAACGGGGAUUUUUUCGAGUUUUAUAGCAUUCUUUGUAAUUACUAUAUUAAUCACAUGCUACUAUUAAAUUUAAAAAUAAUCCAAAUAUUACAAUUAAUACGUGAAUUUACAGAUAAGGCACACAAAAAAAUAUGUGAAUUUUUUUCUAUUUUAAUUAUCCCAAGAGUAAAACAAAAUAUUUUUAUAGCUCACAAACUGCCCUGCUAAAUUUUACUUUUCCCAUGUUAUUUUCAUAAUUUAAAUUUCACAAUUAAUUCUUUUAAUAUUGUGCAAUUUAUUUUUAAUACAAUUUAGUUAUGGGUGUUACUAUUUGCAGCGGGACUUUUACUGAAAUUGUCUUAUUUGCAGCGGUACCUUUUUCAUUUUAAUUUUUCCAACUUUCAAUUUCUCUCUCCUAUUCCCAAACACUCUCUAGAAAUUUGAAUUUCGUAAAAUUUUUCGACAUUCAAACCGUACAAACAAGGCUCGAUUCCGGUAAAUUUUCGAUUUCCUACUACUUUUAAUUAUUUUUAUUUCCAAUUUAGGUAAAAACGUGUGUUUAGGAAUAGAUCUAGCAAAUUUCGGAAAAAAAAAAAAAAUUUACGGCACCCGUGUUCUGGAGCACGGGAGCUUCAACUAUUUGUUCUCUACAGCACGGGAGUUGCAAACUGUUUUGUAAAUUUAAAUUUUCCGAAAUAAAAAAAAAAAAAAUUAUUUAAGUUUCCCGUCUUGAAGGACACGGGAACUUGAAGUUUUUUGAGUUUCCCGUGUUCUGGGGAACGGGAACUUGAAAAUUUUGAGUUUCCCGUUCUGCAGAACACGGGAACUUGAAGAAUCUUCAAGUUCCCGUGUUCAACAGAACGGGAAAUUUAAACUAAUUUUAAUUUUAUUUUAUUUUUAAUUAUUUUAUUUAAUUUGUUUUUUUAUCUUUUACAGAUGGCACGUCAGGACAAGGGGAAAGGGCUUAUGGGUUCUUCUUCGAGUUCGGAUAAAUUUCCGAAGAUUAAAUUUUGGUAUGGCGGGCAAGGCGCGACGGAAGCCGAGGCGGAAGCGGAGCGCAUUCGUAUGACUGCAUCUCAUCGUCGUAGGAGAGUUAUGGAGCGCGACACUGAUUUACCCGUCGUGGACGAGAUUCCCCACAUAGAUCAUAGUUCUAGAUCUAUGACGGGUAGCAUUCGAUCUGUAGGGGCAGAUUCUCGUAUCCCCUACGAGGGACACGUGGAGGAGCAUGACCAUGUUGAGAGCGAUUUUGAUGAUGUUCUCGUCCCGGCCGCGCGCUCACGGAAGUCUCGGUACGAGUUUGACACUUUCAGUGGCCCACUUGAGUUACAUGGUCCGGCUCCAGGAGGACCGACUGAUUGGAGGAUGAUUCCUAGUUUCAAGAGUCAUAUUGCCUACUACAUUUGGGCAGGACAUGUAAGUUUAAAUAUAUUUAUUUUUAUAUAUUUUAAAUAUAUUUAUUUUAAUAUAUUUUGUCUAAUUCAAUUAGAAAUUCUAUAGGAGCGCAGCGUGGGGCGAUGUGAGUCAAGGAUUACUGCGCUUAAUGCUUUUAAGAAACAUGAGUUGAAGCAACUCAUGGCUCCUUACGGGCAGGAUGAGUUAGAGCUACUGGAGGCAUCUGGCCUAGACUCACUCGAGUACUUCUACAUAAAAAAUGUAGACAAGGGACUCAUGGGGGCAUUUAUAGAGAGAUGGCAGCCGGAAACGAACAGUUUCCACAUGCCUUGGGGUGAGAUGACGAUCACCCUACACGAUGUCCAUUUAAUUUUGGGGUAGCGUGUUGACGGUCUAGCGGUGCACGGUGAUUCUGUUGAGGAGAGGCCUAUGUGUGAGUUGUUGCUAGCUGAGGUUCUUGAUUUGGACAUGGUCGAAGCGCAUGCCAGGCUCGGCAAUAGUGGGAUAAAAUGGUCGGAGUUUGUGGAGCGUGUGCGCAGUCGGUCCCGAACUUGUCGGCAGAAGGUGGUAGGAUAUUUGACGUUUUUUAUCGGUAUGGCUUUGUUCCCCGACCGGAGUGUAGACAGGUUCAAGCCAACGUGGAUGAGAUAUUCUUCCGAUCUCGAGCACGUCGGCGAGUAUGCUUGGGGUGCAGCUGUAUUGGCUCAUUUAUACCGACAAUUGGGCUUGGCUAGUAGGGCUCACGUGAAGGGGUUACAGGGUUGCACGUUACUGCUCCAGGUAUUUAAGUAAAAUUUUAAUAUAAUAUAUUAUACUCAAUAGAUUAUGUUUAAUAAUAUAUUAAUUGAAUAUAAUAUACUACAAUUUAAUAUAAUUUAUUAUUAUAAUUAGUAUAACGUAGGUAGUUAUAUAAUAUAGCCUCAACAGUACAUUAAUUUAAUAUAAUAUAUUGUGAUUUAAUAUAAUAUUAAUCUAAUAUAGUCUCGUUUAUUUGUAGUGCUGGAUUUACGAGUACUUUCACCCUUUCCGAGCACCUAUUAAUUCGGAUUAUAGGGAGAUGCAGCCUCGGUUCCUGAAAUGGAAACCACGCAAGGGUAUUUCGGACUUGCUCUCGGUCCGAAGGAUGCUUGAUGAUAUGCAGGCCGAUCAGGUAUGUAUUUUAAUUGUUGAAUUUAUUUAUUAUUAAUUAUUAUGAAAAUGUAAUUUUUAUUACGUUAAUCUAAUUUUCCAGAUUGACGGGAUGCCUUACGGGCCGCACGUACAUAGACGCGUUCCGCGUACAUUAUAUUAUGGGUGCAUACAGUUUAUGGAGAUUGUCGAGCCAUAUUUACCGGAUCGCGUCCUUCGGCAGUUUGGUUUUAGACAGACCAUACCGCAGUGCUUCAUCCAGUCCAGAGAGUCGUGCCUACGUGGUCCGCUUGGAGGACAGACAUACCAGGUACGGUAUGAUCCGCCAGGGCAGGAGUGGAUGGACCUGGCUAUCAGCUCGAUUACGUUGGACGGUAGGACAUUAGCCUGGCCGCCGUCUGAGACUGCCACUCGGUACAUAGAGUGGUACGUUCCUCGUACUCAUCAGUACGUGAUCAACCGGGAUCCAGCGCCAGAAGGACCACCGCCAGUCGUACGCCCCCCUCCUAUUCAGCCGGACUUUUAUGACAUUGUGCGUAUCAUCCAUCCGCACAUGCACGAGAUACCCCAGCAUCUACGUGUCCAGUUACAGCCUCGUGUGGAGCCACAUGCACGUUUUCUAGGUUUAUCCCCCAUUGGAGUUUCCGACGACGACGACUUUAUGGAGAUGCCACCACCGCGUCGGCGACCGGGUGGGACGAGUGGCACUUCGAGGAGGUCUAGGGGUAGACAGUAGACGGCUUUUGUUUGACAUUAAGUUGUUUUUUCUGACAUUUGGCUAUGUUUUGUAUUUGUUUGACAUUUAUUUGUUUUUUCUGACAUUUGGCUAUGUUUUGUAUUUGUUUGACAUUUAUGUUAUUUUUGUUUGACUAUUUUAUUUAUGUUAUUUUUGUUUUGGCCACCACCGCGUCGGCGACCGGGUGGGACGAGUGGCACUUCGAGGAGGUCUAGGGGUAGACAGUAGACGGCUUUUGUUUGACAUUAAGUUGUUUUUUCUGACAUUUGGCUAUGUUUUGUAUUUGUUUGACAUUUAUUUGUUUUUUCUGACAUUUGGCUAUGUUUUGUAUUUGUUUGACAUUUAUGUUAUUUUUGUUUGACUAUUUUAUUUAUGUUAUUUUUGUUUUGGGUUUAAUUUCAAAUUUAUUCCAACCAACAUAAUAUAAUAUAAUACAAGGUCCAAACAUACGAACUAAAAUAAAAUAAUACAAGGUCCAAAUACAUACCAACUAAAAUAAAAUAAUACAAGGUCCAAAUACAUACCAACUAAUAUAAAAUAAUACAAGGUCCAAAUACAUACCAACUAAAAUAAAAUGCCUAUCCCAACCUUGAUAAACGACGCCACAUGUAUAGGGGUUCUUCGAACAUUUCCGACAAGUGGGCAAGAUUUGCGGCUCUAACAUGUCGCCACUGUGGAGUGAUAGGUGGUAGAGGACAAUUAACCGGUAACUGGAUAAGGACAAAAUGGUUUCCUAACAACACCAUAUGGAUCAUAUGGGAUAAUUCACCCGGACCAACUAGAGGUAAGUAGGUUAUAUUUCCGCCAAUGGCGUAUAAGACCAAAGCCGCAUUGUAUUUAGUCGCUAUCGACAUUCCCAUAUCCGGAAAUGACAUCCAUUUGUCCCGACUGCACGGUCCUUCUUGUCAAUCACAUCUUGUAAUCCAUCGAAUGACUUCAUCUUCACCAUUUUGCGAUGCGUACGUACCAAAUCGCUCGUACAUAUCGGCAAUCAAAUCUCUCCUUACACGACUCCAUCUGUGCUGAUCUCGGAACACUGCUUCUGCAACACAUCUGUACCCACAAUUUCCAUCUGCUAUAACAUUAACAUACGACACAAUAGAUCCUGCCACAAAACCUGGGAUGUAAGAUCUGAAAUUGAGCUCAUCGCCCGGUUCCUUUUGAGGCAUCGGAUUACUCUUCUGUUUGGCAGUAGAUUCAUCACUUGAUCUACCACUCCCUCGACCCCGCCCUCGUCCACGACCAGAACCGGAUUCGGUUACUUUCGAUGGUGGGCUUCUGGUAGAAAUACUUUUUCGACCCUUAGAACCGGCAGACGAUUUACCAUUUUCUUCAUCAGUAGACGACUUCCGCGGGAAUGGUGGGUACUCCCAACCGGAUUUAUCUCUCUUCGGUUUAUCCUUUGGCCUUCCUUUUGGUAUAACAUAUGCAGGCUCUGCCAAGUGGAUGGUGUCUGGAUGAAUAGUGCUAUUCAUGUAAUCAGCAGUCAUCUUUUGAGUCAUAUAAUCUUUUUCUAACACUUCCGUGGCUAGUCUGAUUAUUCGGUCUCUCAUAUUUGUUUCACGAUCCAUCUGUGCUUCAGGUAUUUCUGGUUCUUCAACGUGCAUGGUACUCCAAAAUGGAUGUAGAUCCAUACAUAUAAAUGUAUCACGUUGCUGGAUUUUCAACGCAAUUCGUCAUGUACAAGGAAGUGCAUGACUAUCCCACAAAACGUGAUCACAAAGAGAUGGGUCUUGAAACCCCGAAUUUUUUAUCUCAUCAUCAAGCAAAUUUAAUGCUUUAUGUGUGACUUUGCAUAUCAAACCCUGAAAUACCGGAUACGCUGACGAGUGCAACCUGAUUAAACUGCAUUUUGAAAACUCACCCUUGAUCUUGGUUAGUUGAUACUCAACCCCGGAGUCGAGCUGAUAUUGAAUAGUGUUCACACCACCGGUAGAAGCAUUAAUCCAACCCUUCGACGAUUUAUGAGCACUUUCCACCCUGUUAAUAGCCAUUAAAAUAACAACUAAUAAAUAAAAACGCCCACAAUAUAAUAUAAAAUAAAAGACGAUAAUGAAACCCAACAUACCUAGAUGUCGACGUGUUCCGAAAAUGCAAAAUCUUAUUAGCCCAUGCUUUGACGAAUUUGUGCUUGUAAAUUAGCCAAGUAUCGUUAAGGUAUGAUAUCAAUUUGGGGUAACAACCAUAGCGUCUAACCAUUUCCUCGUAAUUAUCAUUGUAAUCUUCUUCUGUUUUUGACUUCACUAAUUUUGCCCAAUGUAUGCGCCGAAAUAUAAGCCCGUGUUUAGUACUACCAAUAAAUCUCGAUGCAUUUUUUUCCACGUUUCUAUUGAUGUGAAACAAACACAAGAAAUGAGCGGAAUCUGGAAAUAUUACGGGCAUUGCUUUGAUAAGUCCCAAUUCACGAUCCGUCAAUAUCACAUUAGGUACCAGCCCCCCCAACGCACAUUUCAAACAACGCAAAGCCCAUUCGUAUGUGUUUGCAUCUUCAUGUGACAUGAAAGCAACAGUAAUUGUAAAAUUCAUACCAACAGGAGUGAUUCCAAUUAUUUCCAAAAGUGGCAUCUCAUACCUACGUAAAUACAUAAAUAUCAAAUGCAAUCAAUCAAUGUAAAAUAGCACAAUAAUAAAUACUAAUUAACAACAUACCUAUUGGUUUUGUAAGUGCAGUCCAUCAAUAUGACGUGAGAGAAUAACCGCAAAAGUUUCAACUAAAUAGGAGCAGCGAACAUCAAAUCAGUAAGUGUAUCAUCACCUUCAUUACUUCGAUACCAAUAUUCAUAUUCAGAUUCUUGAAGGUUCGACAUCAACGUGUUGUAUCACAGUCUUCCCCGCCAUAUUCUCUUUUUUCAUCUUCUCAAGUUGGUUGUAGACAUGUUUCACACUCGUUGAUGUCUGUGGAUUAUCCUUUCUCAAUCGAUCCAUAAUUAAUGCCGGCUUCACGUGGCUCUUUCUAAGUAACUUCACUACCUCGUAUUCUUCUGGUGUCAAACGACUAUCCGGUCCUUGUCCGGUAGGAUACGGUAGUGUCGGGUGAGUGUGAGUGCCACUUUUUAAAUUCAUUCGCCAUAGUCCAUCGUUUGAAUUUUUGCUACAGUAUAUACGAAAAGGACAUCCACAUUUUUUUGUUCCCACAUUCCGUGGUAUCGCACCUACGGUUCGUUUUUCACGUCCCUCCCCAGACAAAUGACAUCUAAUUACUACAUACAUGUUUUUCUUGCUUGAAGUUACUAUCAAUCGAUGACCAUGAGUAGCAGCCAUUUUUUUGCCCAUUCCACUAAUUCUUUCCCAGUUUCAAACUCAACACCUACAUUGAAAUGUUGACUGUGAUCCUCAGAAGUUGUUGGUGUGUCUUGAGGAACAUCGAAACACAUGUUGGGAUCCUCGUACUCGUUGUACGCUUUGUCACGAUUAGUUGUAAACUCAUCGUCAAAAUCACCUUCAGUACCCUAUUAAGAUAUAACAAGUUAUAAUUAGGAUAUAAAUAACAAUAUUAAAAAAAAAAAAAAAAAAAAUUAUUAGGGGUUCCCGUGCCGGCGGGCACGGGGGUGCACUGUUCCCGUGCCGAAGGGCACGGUGGUGCACUGUUCCCGUCCGCCAGGGCACGGGAGUCUCAAACCUCCGUCCUCUAAGGCACGGGAGCACGAUAUUCCCGUGCUCCCCAAGACGGGACCUAUAGUUUCAUUUUUUUUUUUUUUUUUGAUUCUCCCGUGCUGUACAACACGGGAAUCCCUAAUUUUUGGGAUUCCCGUGCUACACAGCACGGUAUACCCGACGAAAAACAAAAAAAAUCCGCUACUUUCUUCGAUUUACCUCGUAAAACUCGUCAGAAUCGGCCAUAGUGUUAUAUGUUGUCGUCGGGCAGUCGAUUCAUCAAAUAAACACGAAAAUCUUAAUUCUCGACUUUUUUUAGUUGAGAGAGUUUUCAGUUUUUCAAAAAGUUUGAAAAGUUGAAAUGAAAAGGUAUCGCUGCAAAUAAGCCAAUUUCAGUUAAAAGUCCCGCUACAAUUAGCAUUUCAGUUUAGUUAUAACACAUUAAAAUUUUAAUACUACUGGGGGGAUAGUAUAAUUAUUAAAUACGCAAAAAGUAAUUAAAUAGAAAAAAAAAGUCUGUCAGAUAUUUCCAGCCCGCUUGACCAGAGCUCCAGCCAGACUUAUAUUGCUAACCGCUAGGGUCGAUCAUCUUAUCUGCGGAAACACAGCGCUUCGUGCCACUGUGCCCACAGCUUCAUCACAAUCCGGCCAAGCAGGAGGGUUAUCAUCAUCCAGACUUGACACGGUGUUGACCAGGCUGCCCCCGCCUUAACAUAAAUACAUCUUCUUUAUUAUGUAAACCUCCGAUGUGGGACACUGACAUUCAUUUAACACAGGCAGAUACCCCUUAAAUGCUCUUCUUUUUCUUUUCUUUUAAUCUAUAUAUAUAUACACACACACACAUGGGCAAAUUGUCUUAUCGAGCCAGACAAAACCGACCUGCUUGCUUGGCUACAUACUAGAUUUAAUGGCUUGAUAUACGACAAAACGAACGAACCCUUAAAGAACAACCUCUUACUGUACUAACCUCCGAUAACCAAAUCCUCAAUAAACGAACCAUUAGUCCAUUAAGAAUUGAGUGAAAGGGAUUUCAUUGGUUUUUUUCACAAGUAAUUGGACAAACACAAAGAUUGGCCGAAAUAAACGAAAUAACAAUUGCAAUACAUAAAGUGGACAAGCACAAAAUAUAGCAGUAGCAAGCAAAUUUGUCAAAAUAAAUAAGACUAGCAUUGUUCCAGCCUUUCACUGGGCAUUCACACCUCCACACACACACCUAUCAUUUUUUGUGUUUUUUUCACAAAAUACAAAAGGAGUCUAGAUGAACACAAACAAAAUUAGUUCACAGCCCAAUUACAUAUAUUCCAAAAGCAUAUAUAUAAAUAUAUACAUAAAUAGUUUCUCUGAACCUGCAAAUGAAAAAUCAAUAAAAAGUGUUAAAUGCUAGUAAAUGCAUGCAGCAUAAAGCUGAGAGGUUGUUAAACAGUGUAAAUUUCUAUAACAUAGACUGGAAGGUGUACAUACUUGAGACAUUAGAUUGCAAUUAAUUGACCUCUCUCAUGUUUCGUGCUAAAGAUAUUCAAAUUUACG